GGUCCCAUAGUGUAACGGUUAUCAUGUUUGCCUUAUACACAGAAGGUCCUGGGUUUGAUCCCCAGAGGAACCA
Molecule: non-coding RNA, 73 nt
Organism: Cynoglossus semilaevis (tongue sole)
Lineage: Eukaryota; Metazoa; Chordata; Actinopteri; Pleuronectiformes; Cynoglossidae
Source: the annotation of a RefSeq genome assembly